AGCGAACGCUGGCGGCAGGCCUAACACAUGCAAGUCGAACGAACCUUUCGGGGUUAGUGGCGGACGGGUGAGUAACACGUGGGAACGUUCCUUUAGGUUCGGAAUAACUCAGGGAAACUUGUGCUAAUACCGAAUGUGCCCUUCGGGGGAAAGAUUAAUCGCCUUUAGAGCGGACCGCGUCUGAUUAGCUAGUUGGUUGAGGUAAUGGCUCACCAAGGCGACGAUCAGUAGCUGGUCUGAGAGGAUGAUCAGCCACAUUGGGACUGAGACACGGCCCAAACUCCUACGGGAGGCAGCAGUGGGGAAUCUUGCGCAAUGGGCGAAAGCCUGACGCAGCCAUGCCGCGUGAAUGAUGAAGGUCUUAGGAUUGUAAAAUUCUUUCACCGGGGACGAUAAUGACGGUACCCGGAGAAGAAGCCCCGGCUAACUUCGUG
Molecule: ribosomal RNA, 434 nt
Filed under: uncultured bacterium
Lineage: Bacteria
Description: partial 16S ribosomal RNA
Rfam family: Bacterial small subunit ribosomal RNA
Source: RNAcentral